CAAGACCAAAGAGGGGGACCUUCGGGCCUCUUGCCAUCAGAUGUGCCCAGAUGGGAUUAGCUAGUAGUGGGGUAACGGUCACUAGGCGACGAUCCCUAGCUGGUCUGAGAGGAUGACCAGCCACACUGGAACUGAGACACGGUCCGGACUCCUACGGGAGGCAGCAGUGGGGAAUAUUGCACAAUGGGCGCAAGCCUGAUGCAGCCAUGCCGCGUGUAUGAAGAAGGCCUUCGGGUUGUAAAGUACUUUCAGCGGGGAGGAAGGUGUGUGGUUAAUAACCAAGAAUUGACGUUAACCGAGAAGAAGCAACCGGUUAAUUCCGGUGCCAGGGCCGCGGUAAUAAGGGAGGGUGUAAGGUAAUCGGAAAUUACUGGGGCGUUAACAGCGCACACGCAAGGCCGGGACCUGGGCCAAGCGACCGGANUCGGGNAAAAUCCCCCAGGGGGAUCCAACCUGGGGAACAACCGGCAUCACAAACUAUGGGCAANGGGCAACACAAAGCACACGGGCAAACGGGGGGUAAGAAACAACAAGCAGGUGAGACAGAAGCGNCACACACCGGCGUGAAGAAAGACACCGAGCAAACGAAAUCACAACCCC
Molecule: ribosomal RNA, 600 nt
Filed under: uncultured bacterium
Lineage: Bacteria
Description: bacterial SSU rRNA
Rfam family: Bacterial small subunit ribosomal RNA (bases 1-356)
Source: RNAcentral